Molecule: long non-coding RNA, 204 nt
Filed under: Nicotiana benthamiana
Lineage: Eukaryota; Viridiplantae; Streptophyta; Magnoliopsida; Solanales; Solanaceae
Description: long non-coding RNA (NBEN_LNC034951)
Source: RNAcentral
AUCACAGAUCCAUUACCAAUUAAGUGGUCUAUUUUCCCCUCAGGGUGCUCAAAGAAGUCUGCCACAUCCAAGUGGGUGAUGUCAAAAUUGUCUUCAGAGACAGAAUUGGUUUCAGGGCAUUUACCUUUUAGAGAUGCUUGAUAAAGCUCAACCAUAUGUCUUGGUACACGGCAAAUAUUUGCCCAGUGCCCUUUUCCACCGCAA